GAGACAGCAUCGCCACGGUAAUACAGAGGGUGCGAGCGUUAAUCGGAUUUACUGGGCGUAAAGCGUGCGUAGGCGGCUUCUUAAGUCGGAUGUGAAAUCCCUGAGCUUAACUUAGGAAUUGCAUUCGAUACUGGGAAGCUAGAGUAUGGGAGAGGAUGGUAGAAUUCCAGGUGUAGCGGUGAAAUGCGUAGAGAUCUGGAGGAAUACCGAUGGCGAAGGCAGCCAUCUGGCCUAAUACUGACGCUGAGGUACGAAAGCAUGGGGAGCAAACAGGAUUAGAUACCCCCGUAGUCCCUGUCUCUUAUACA
This 308-nucleotide ribosomal RNA is filed under the name uncultured bacterium. RNAcentral's name for it is "partial 16S ribosomal RNA". It matches the Rfam family "Bacterial small subunit ribosomal RNA", at positions 505 to 808 of the family's 1533-position model. The record is from RNAcentral.